CAGGACGAACGCUGGCGGCAUGCCUAAUACAUGCAAGUCGAACGCUGAAGCACUCUGCUUGCAGAGUGCGGAUGAGUGGCGAACGGGUGAGUAACACGUGGGAAAUCUGCCUAAGAGUGGGGGAUAACAUUCGGAAACGGAUGCUAAUACCGCAUAUAUUCUUGAACCGCAUGGUUCUGGAAAGAAAGACGGCUUUGCUGUCGCUUUUAGAUGGUCCCGCGGCGUAUUAGUUAGUUGGUGGGGUAACGGCCUACCAAGACCAUGAUACGUAGCCGACCUGAGAGGGUGAUCGGCCACACUGGGACUGAGACACGGCCCAGACUCCUACGGGAGGCAGCAGUAGGGAAUCUUCCACAAUGGGUGCAAACCUGAUGGAGCAAUGCCGCCGUGAAUGAAGAAGGUCUUCGGAUCGUAAAGUUCUGUUAUUAGAGAAGAACAAGUCGAGGAGUAACUGUCUCGACUUUGACGGUACCUAACCAGAAAGUCACGGCUAACUACGUGCCAGCCGCCGC
RNAcentral lists this ribosomal RNA (512 nucleotides) under uncultured bacterium. Its description in RNAcentral is "bacterial SSU rRNA". It matches the Rfam family "Bacterial small subunit ribosomal RNA", at positions 25 to 518 of the family's 1533-position model. The record is from RNAcentral.